ACAACACCACGUUAUUUAUUUGUAGUAACAAGACGGCACGGUUUCCUCACAGCACACACAAAGACACACGUACAAGAAUGGCAACAAGAAUGUUCAUGCGUGUCGGAGGCGCGAUGCACUAGAUGUUCCGCGCACACCACUUCACAAGCAAAACCUUAGAAAAUCAAGGCUCAAAUCCUUGGGUUCCACUUGCCCUUCGCUGAAUUCAAAUUACUGUUGCCGAUUUGCACUGCUGACGAUGGCCAAUUGGGGCAAUGUUGCGGCGCCUGCAAAUCUGCCUCAUGUGUGUACUAUCCUCCGCUUUGUAUCAGCAAAUCACAAGGCAAUAAAGCAUCGACAAGACGCAGUAGGUGGUGCUGUUGCACAAACAGGUGUCAAACUUCUAUUUUAUAAAGACGCUUUGGCAAUGCAGUGCGCCGGUACACUGUUUACAAUGCAUGCGCUUUACACCACAGCUACACACAGCUGCCAGUAAGUUACCCGUCUGUGGAAUGUCUGUAGGCGCAGAUAUGUUUCCGACGAAAACGGGAGCCCUGUGAUGCAUCUGAUGUUUCACCUCAUGCUUUCCCACAGUCGGAGUUUCUUUUUGGGCUUCCGACUUGCGCUCACUCGCGAUAACGAGCAUUCGGAACACACCAACACACGUCACUGACCAUGCAUGCCUAGCAGUUGUCUUCACUCGUCGAUGAAGUUUCCUCGGCACACGGUAAUCCAACGCGUUUCUGAAGAAGGAGAAAAAGCUUCUUCCGCACAGCUACUCAUUGUCUCGAAGCCUCCCUUGCUGCAACUUCCAGCGCAACCUGCAGGCACGAACCGAGGGACGACAGUUGGUUUCAAUGCCACCGACGAGCGUCCGCAACGCAGGCCGGCUGCCGGCUGGCGCAGCAUCCAUCAGUGUGAAGCCGUCUUGCUGCCUGUUCACAUCCAUCUGUCGCGGCCGACAGUCCAAGUGAGAGCCGCUUGCGCAGUAAAAGACGAGUGGCGAGAGCUUUCCAGACCGCUGAGUCGCUGUAGCUGCGAAACAGGCCUUGGCGCUCCUGGAAGUCGGCCAAGGUCGUCGCGCAUAUGCUUCCGAGUGGCUGAACACCGUGAGGCCAAGUGGCCAUUGUUCAAUCACCAACUGCCGAGCCGCUGAAAGAUCGCUUUGGUGGCCAAGCCCUAUCGUCUUGCUGCUACCUUCGAGGGAGCGCGUAUCGGCAUGCCGAUUGUAUCGUACUACGCCUGCGUGGUUUCUCAGCGUGGCCUUUAAAAGUUUUCCGAAGAGCAUGAACCGGUCUCAUUCGGAAGCAGCAAAUUGCGGCCGCCUCUACACCUUCUGGCACUUGAACUAUUAUCGUACAGACGGAAUGGUGCUAUCCAGGCGCGCCCUCAAGGUGCCCUGGCUUUCCGAGAAUGAUGCCAACCCGAAGCCACCCUGUCCCGGCAUCCCAAUAACGUCGGAGCGCCAGUUUUCCCUCUAGGACAAAGAGAAAUGAAACACUUCAUGGAACACCGCCACGCCGUCUCGAGACUGCGCCGUCAUCACCGGCGGCCAGGAGGAAAGAGACGGUGGUUGCUGCUGCCUACCGGCACAAAGGGAGUCGACGAGGAACGGAAAAAGCGAUGCAGCGCCACGCCAGACAGGGAGGAGAGAAUGGCGGCGAGGGUCUGGGCCGGUCUGGCACCUCGGGGCGGCAAGCGUGCGUGCGUGCGUGUGCGUGCAGCUACAGCGACGGGGCCAGCAUCCCAGACGGCCUGACCUCGGCGCCUUGGACGCCUUCCCAGAAGACGGCGGUGGCGGCACGAACGGGUUAAAAUAGGACCGACGGCGCGGGGUGCCCACGCCGCCGCCGACGACCGGAGCAGAGAGUGAGACGGCAAGCGACGACACCACAGCGAGGAAGGGCAAGAAGAGCAAAACUAAUAUUGAGAUGCGGGUGCAGUGGCCACCUUCUUCGCACGAGGUAGCUCCGGCGAGUGGCAGAUACAGUCGGAGUCUCUGGGCAUCAAUAAAGUCUACCGCGUAUGUCGGCUGAGCACGCUCUUGCGCGCUCUAAAGA
Long non-coding RNA from Dermacentor andersoni, 2039 nucleotides. RefSeq lists it as uncharacterized. The record is from RefSeq and is a predicted model, not a curated record. NCBI's taxonomy places the organism in Eukaryota, Metazoa, Arthropoda, Arachnida, Ixodida, Ixodidae.